AAGGUUAAGCCUCACGGUUCAUUAGUACCGGUUAGCUCAACGCAUCGCUGCGCUUACACACCCGGCCUAUCAACGUCGUCGUCUUCAACGUUCCUUCAGGACUCUCAAGGAGUCAGGGAGAACUCAUCUCGGGGCAAGUUUCGUGCUUAGAUGCUUUCAGCACUUAUCUCUUCCGCAUUUAGCUACCGGGCAGUGCCAUUGGCAUGACAACCCGAACACCAGUGAUGCGUCCACUCCGGUCCUCUCGUACUAGGAGCAGCCCCCCUCAGUUCUCCAGCGCCCACGGCAGAUAGGGACCGAACUGUCUCACGACGUUCUAAACCCAGCUCGCGUACCACUUUAAAUGGCGAACAGCCAUACCCUUGGGACCUACUUCAGCCCCAGGAUGUGAUGAGCCGACAUCGAGGUGCCAAACACCGCCGUCGAUAUGAACUCUUGGGCGGUAUCAGCCUGUUAUCCCCGGAGUACCUUUUAUCCGUUGAGCGAUGGCCCUUCCAUUCAGAACCACCGGAUCACUAUGACCUGCUUUCGCACCUGCUCGCGCCGUCACGCUCGCAGUCAAGCUGGCUUAUGCCAUUGCACUAACCUCCUGAUGUCCGACCAGGAUUAGCCAACCUUCGUGCUCCUCCGUUACUCUUUAGGAGGAGACCGCCCCAGUCAAACUACCCACCAGACACUGUCCGCAACCCGGAUCACGGGUCAACGUUAGAACAUCAAACAUUAAAGGGUGGUAUUUCAAGGCCGGCUCCAUGCAGACUGGCGUCCACACUUCAAAGCCUCCCACCUAUCCUACACAUCAAGGCUCAAUGUUCAGUGUCAAGCUAUAGUAAAGGUUCACGGGGUCUUUCCGUCUUGCCGCGGGUACACUGCAUCUUCACAGCGAGUUCAAUUUCACUGAGUCUCGGGUGGAGACAGCCUGGCCAUCAUUACGCCAUUCGUGCAGGUCGGAACUUACCCGACAAGGAAUUUCGCUACCUUAGGACCGUUAUAGUUACGGCCGCCGUUUACCGGGGCUUCGAUCAAGAGCUUCGCUUGCGCUGACCCCAUCAAUUAACCUUCCGGCACCGGGCAGGCGUCACACCGUAUACGUCCACUUUCGUGUUUGCACAGUGCUGUGUUUUUAAUAAACAGUUGCAGCCAGCUGGUAUCUUCGACUGAUUUCAGCUCCAUCCGCGAGGGACUUCACCUACAUAUCAGCGUGCCUUCUCCCGAAGUUACGGCACCAUUUUGCCUAGUUCCUUCACCCGAGUUCUCUCAAGCGCCUUGGUAUUCUCUACCUGACCACCUGUGUCGGUUUGGGGUACGAUUUGAUGUUACCUGAUGCUUAGAGGCUUUUCCUGGAAGCAGGGCAUUUGUUGCUUCAGCACCGUAGUGCCUCGUCAUCACGCCUCAGCCUUGAUUUUCCGGAUUUGCCUGGAAAACCAGCCUACACGCUUAAACCGGGACAACCGUCGCCCGGCCAACAUAGCCUUCUCCGUCCCCCCUUCGCAGUAACACCAAGUACAGGAAUAUUAACCUGUUUCCCAUCGACUACGCCUUUCGGCCUCGCCUUAGGGGUCGACUCACCCUGCCCCGAUUAACGUUGGACAGGAACCCUUGGUCUUCCGGCGAGCGGGCUUUUCACCCGCUUUAUCGUUACUUAUGUCAGCAUUCGCACUUCUGAUACCUCCAGCAUGCCUCACAGCACACCUUCGCAGGCUUACAGAACGCUCCCCUACCCAACAACGCAUCAGCGUCGCUGCCGCAGCUUCGGUGCAUGGUUUAGCCCCGUUACAUCUUCCGCGCAGGCCGACUCGACCAGUGAGCUAUUACGCUUUCUUUAAAUGAUGGCUGCUUCUAAGCCAACAUCCUGGCUGUCUGGGCCUUCCCACAUCGUUUCCCACUUAACCAUGACUUUGGGACCUUAGCUGGCGGUCUGGGUUGUUUCCCUCUUCACGACGGACGUUAGCACCCGCCGUGUGUCUCCCGUGAUAACAUUCUCCGGUAUUCGCAGUUUGCAUCGGGUUGGUAAGUCGGGAUGACCCCCUUGCCGAAACAGUGCUCUACCCCCGGAGAUGAAUUCACGAGGCGCUACCUAAAUAGCUUUCGGGGAGAACCAGCUAUCUCCCGGUUUGAUUGGCCUUUCACCCCCAGCCACAAGUCAUCCGCUAAUUUUUCAACAUUAGUCGGUUCGGUCCUCCAGUUAGUGUUACCCAACCUUCAACCUGCCCAUGGCUAGAUCACCGGGUUUCGGGUCUAUACCCUGCAACUUAACGCCCAGUUAAGACUCGGUUUCCCUUCGGCUCCCCUAUUCGGUUAACCUUGCUACAGAAUAUAAGUCGCUGACCCAUUAUACAAAAGGUACGCAGUCACACAGAUUGCUCUGUGCUCCCACUGCUUGUACGUACACGGUUUCAGGUUCUUUUUCACUCCCCUCGCCGGGGUUCUUUUCGCCUUUCCCUCACGGUACUGGUUCACUAUCGGUCAGUCAGGAGUAUUUAGCCUUGGAGGAUGGUCCCCCCAUAUUCAGACAGGAUACCACGUGUCCCGCCCUACUCAUCGAGCUCACAGCAUGUGCAUUUUUGUGUACGGGGCUGUCACCCUGUAUCGCGCGCCUUUCCAGACGCUUCCACUAACACACACACUGAUUCAGGCUCUGGGCUGCUCCCCGCUCGCUCGCCGCUACUGGGGGAAUCUCGGUUGAUUUCUUUUCCUCGGGGUACUUAGAUGUUUCAGUUCCCCCGGUUCGCCUCAUUAACCUAUGGAUUCAGUUAAUGAUAGUGUGACGAAUCACACUGGGUUUCCCCAUUCGGAAAUCGCCGGUUAUAACGGUUCAUAUCACCUUACCGACGCUUAUCGCAGAUUAGCACGUCCUUCAUCGCCUCUGACUGCCAGGGCAUCCACCGUGUACGCUUAGUCGCUUAA
This 2904-nucleotide ribosomal RNA is filed under the name Escherichia coli EPEC C342-62. Its description in RNAcentral is "23S ribosomal RNA". The record is from RNAcentral. Lineage: Bacteria; Pseudomonadati; Pseudomonadota; Gammaproteobacteria; Enterobacterales; Enterobacteriaceae.